UACGGGGGGGGCAAGCGUUGUUCGGAAUUACUGGGCGUAAAGGGCGCGUAGGCGGCCUGCUAAGUCGGACGUGAAAUCCCCCGGCUCAACCGGGGAACUGCGUCCGAUACUGGUGGGCUCGAAUCCGGGAGAGGGAUGUGGAAUUCCUAGUGUAGAGGUGAAAUUCGUAGAUAUUAGGAAGAACACCAGUGGCGAAGGCGGCUCACUGGUCCGGUACUGACGCUGAGGUGCGAAAGCGUGGGGAGCAAACAGG
This 253-nucleotide ribosomal RNA is filed under the name uncultured bacterium. RNAcentral describes it as "partial 16S ribosomal RNA". It matches the Rfam family "Bacterial small subunit ribosomal RNA", at positions 524 to 776 of the family's 1533-position model. The record is from RNAcentral.